RNAcentral lists this ribosomal RNA (378 nucleotides) under uncultured archaeon. RNAcentral describes it as "bacterial SSU rRNA". It matches the Rfam family "Archaeal small subunit ribosomal RNA", at positions 691 to 1068 of the family's 1478-position model. The record is from RNAcentral.
CCGACGGUGAGAGAUGAAAGCUGGGGGAGCAAACCGGAUUAGAUACCCGGGUAGUCCCAGCUGUAAACGAUGCGCGUUAGGUGUAUCAGUGACCACGAGUCACUGAGGUGCCGAAGAGAAAUCGUGAAACGUGCCGCCUGGGAAGUACGGUCGCAAGGCUGAAACUUAAAGGAAUUGGCGGGGGAGCACCACAACAGGUGGAGCCUGCGGUUUAAUCGGACUCAACGCCGGAAAUCUCACCAGAUAAGACAGCUGAAUGAUAGUCGGGCUGAAGACUCUACUUGACUAGCUGAGAGGAGGUGCAUGGCCGUCGUCAGUUCGUACUGUGAAGCAUCCUGUUAAGUCAGGCAACGAGCGAGACCCACGCCAACAGUUGCU